This 1452-nucleotide ribosomal RNA is filed under the name uncultured organism. Its description in RNAcentral is "SSU rRNA". It matches the Rfam family "Bacterial small subunit ribosomal RNA". The record is from RNAcentral.
AUGAACGCUAGCUACAGGCUUAACACAUGCAAGUCGAGGGGCAGCAUGGUCUUAGCUUGCUAAGGCCGAUGGCGACCGGCGCACGGGUGAGUAACACGUAUCCAACCUGCCGUCUACUCUUGGACAGCCUUCUGAAAGGAAGAUUAAUACAAGAUGGCAUCAUGAGUCCGCAUGUUCACAUGAUUAAAGGUAUUCCGGUAGACGAUGGGGAUGCGUUCCAUUAGAUAGUAGGCGGGGUAACGGCCCACCUAGUCUUCGAUGGAUAGGGGUUCUGAGAGGAAGGUCCCCCACAUUGGAACUGAGACACGGUCCAAACUCCUACGGGAGGCAGCAGUGAGGAAUAUUGGUCAAUGGGCGAGAGCCUGAACCAGCCAAGUAGCGUGAAGGAUGACUGCCCUAUGGGUUGUAAACUUCUUUUAUAAAGGAAUAAAGUCGGGUAUGGAUACCCGUUUGCAUGUACUUUAUGAAUAAGGAUCGGCUAACUCCGUGCCAGCAGCCGCGGUAAUACGGAGGAUCCGAGCGUUAUCCGGAUUUAUUGGGUUUAAAGGGAGCGUAGAUGGAUGUUUAAGUCAGUUGUGAAAGUUUGCGGCUCAACCGUAAAAUUGCAGUUGAUACUGGAUAUCUUGAGUGCAGUUGAGGCAGGCGGAAUUCGUGGUGUAGCGGUGAAAUGCUUAGAUAUCACGAAGAACUCCGAUUGCGAAGGCAGCCUGCUAAGCUGCAACUGACAUUGAGGCUCGAAAGUGUGGGUAUCAAACAGGAUUAGAUACCCUGGUAGUCCACACGGUAAACGAUGAAUACUCGCUGUUUGCGAUAUACAGCAAGCGGCCAAGCGAAAGCGUUAAGUAUUCCACCUGGGGAGUACGCCGGCAACGGUGAAACUCAAAGGAAUUGACGGGGGCCCGCACAAGCGGAGGAACAUGUGGUUUAAUUCGAUGAUACGCGAGGAACCUUACCCGGGCUUAAAUUGCAGAUGAAUUACGGUGAAAGCCGUAAGCCGCAAGGCAUCUGUGAAGGUGCUGCAUGGUUGUCGUCAGCUCGUGCCGUGAGGUGUCGGCUUAAGUGCCAUAACGAGCGCAACCCUUGUUGUCAGUUACUAACAGGUUCCGCUGAGGACUCUGACAAGACUGCCAUCGUAAGAUGUGAGGAAGGUGGGGAUGACGUCAAAUCAGCACGGCCCUUACGUCCGGGGCUACACACGUGUUACAAUGGGGGGUACAGAGGGCCGCUACCACGCGAGUGGAUGCCAAUCCCAAAAACCUCUCUCAGUUCGGACUGGAGUCUGCAACCCGACUCCACGAAGCUGGAUUCGCUAGUAAUCGCGCAUCAGCCACGGCGCGGUGAAUACGUUCCCGGGCCUUGUACACACCGCCCGUCAAGCCAUGGGAGCCGGGGGUACCUGAAGUGCGUAACCGCGAGGAGCGCCCUAGGGUAAAACUGGUGACUGGGGCUAAG